This is a long non-coding RNA of Polyodon spathula (Mississippi paddlefish), 1077 nucleotides long. RefSeq lists it as uncharacterized. The transcript has 3 exons. NCBI's taxonomy places the organism in Eukaryota, Metazoa, Chordata, Actinopteri, Acipenseriformes, Polyodontidae. The record is from RefSeq and is a predicted model, not a curated record.
UAAAUAAGUUGGUGUUAAAAGGCAAAAUAAGGUAGACAUUGCCGGAUCAGCACCAGCAAUAUAACAUUUAAGACAAAGCGUGUUCCUUCAUUCUCAGUGUGGUUCGAUGCAAAUGAAAAGGCGAUCACAUUUCAGUCGUUGUUUUUAAUAGUAAACGUCUGGUUGUUAAAUGGGCAAAUGCGAACGUUAAGAGGACAUGGACGGGCAACCACAAGACCUAAACCAAUCAAUGGGCACAAACAAGCGGGUGCUUUAAAUAAAAGGGGAAGGGCAUCAAAUGCCAAUCAAAGCGCGCAUCAAUGGUGUUAAAAUCGAACACCCUUGAGUUCUGUGAUUGAAUGGGUAUGUUGCUGAUUUCUUUUGUAAGCCGGAGCUUCUAGUGAACAUGUGGAUUUCUCUUUCCCCAGAGCGAACAUUUUCUUUGGUUACCGGUUUUACUGACAUUGUCAUCUGGCGUAUCUUUAACUUAAGACUCUUACCUUUCCUGAUUAAAACAAGACAAUAGAUCUAGUUGUAAACGACUUUAAUUCUCAGCUUAACGCAGCUUUUGAGAUGAAGCGAAAAUCGAAGACAGACUCUAAGCGAAUUUCAAUAAACUCGACUUAGAGCCACCGAACACAUAGGAAAAGACUUUAUACAAAAGAGAAGACAAAGAAAAACCAUGAAGAAAGAAGACGGGGUAAACAGAAAACAAUCCAGCAUAUCUCCGAAGGAAGACUGGUCCUCAACUGCGUGAGUAAAGGGACGCUGUGGAAAACAUACAUGAAAAGCAAGCAGAAAGAGACAGAGACCGAAACUACAAGACUGAUCAGAAAUGUGGGCCACUAGGGAAAUAAGCACAAACCAGACUGAAACAGUGAAGUAUUGAACCUCUCCGUGAACACCUCUACUCAGCCAACAGACAGAAGCUUUCCGUACAGGCCAUAUAAAAGCGCCUAUAUUAAUACGAUUGGGGGUACGUCUUCAGAAAUUCUUCCAGCUCUUGUAAUCUUUUAAACAAAGAGUGUUUUCAGGACAUUUAUUCAUUGUUGUCUAACUAAAACAAAACAGUAUUGGACUGAACAAUAUAUAUAUAUA